GUUAGAUUUAAAGUUAGGUUUCAAUCUAGUGUUAAAGCUAGGGCUAAGGAUAGGGCAAUUGUGAUGAAAACGGUUAGGGUUAGAGUUAGGGUUAUGUUUAGGGUAAGGGAUGUGGUUUGGGCUAGGUUUAGGGCUAAGGCAAGUGUUAGUAUUAGGGUUAGGGCUUAAUUAGGGUUAGGGUUAUGAUUAAGGCUAGAUUUAUGGCUAGGAUGAGGUUUAGGGUUUGUGUUAGGAUUGGGGAUAGUAUUAGGGCUAGGGCUAAUGUAAGUUCUAGGGUUAUAGUUAGGGCUGGAUUUAGUGUUAGGUUUAUGGCUUGUUCCAGUGUAAGGAUUACAUAUAGGGUAAGAUUUAGGUUUAUAUCUAGGGUUAUUUUUAGGGUCAGGGUCAGAGUCAGGUUUAGGGUUUGGGUUAGGUUAGGAUUUAGGUUUAGGGUAAUGACAGGGUUAGUAUUAGGGUUUAGGUUUGGUUUAGUGUAAUGAAUAGGGUUAGGGUUAGGCCUAGAGUUAGCUUAAAGUUUAGGGUUAUUGUUAGGGUAAUGGAUAGGUUUAGACCUAAGGUUAGGGCUAGGGUUAUGUAUAGGAUUAGGGCUAGUUUCGUGUUAGGGUUAUGUUUAAAUUUAGGGUUAAAGUUAGAUUUAGGACUCGGAUUAAGGCUAGGUUUUGGGUUAGGUAGGGCUAGGGUUAAGGCUACCACUAAUGUAUGAAGUAGGGUUAUGAUUAGUGCUAGUUAUAGGGUUAGAGUUAGGGCUAGGUCUAGUGUUAGGUUGAGGUAUACGGUGAUGAUUAUUUUUAGAGCCAGGGUUAGUGUUAGGGUCAGAGUCAGGGUCACGGUUAGUUUUCGGGUUAGGGUUAGGACUAGAAUUAGGAUAUGGUUAGGGCUAGGUGUAGGGUUAGGGUUUGUUUUAGGUUAAGGGUUAGGAUUAUGGCUAUGACUCAGUUUUGUUUUAGGGAUAGAGCAAGGGUUAGAGCUAGUUUUAGGAUUAGCAUUAGCAUUAGGGCUAGUUCUAGGCUUAGGUUUAGGAUUAGGGUUAGGGUUAGAUUUAUAGUUAGGCUUAGAUCUAGGGUUAUGGCCAGGGCUAUGAAUCGGGCUAAGAUUACACCAAGGGUUAAAACUAAAAUUAGGGUUCUAGUAAGGGAUAGAGUUAGAACAAGGGUUAGGGUUAGGGUGAGAGUUACAGUUAGUCUUUGGGCUAGAGUUAGGGUUAGGAUUAGGGAUUGGGCUAAAUUAGGGCUAAGAUUAGGGCUAGGGUUAGUGUUAGGGUUAGGCCUAGGAUUUGGGUUAGGAAUAAAAUUAAGGCUAUGUUUAGGGCUAGGAUAAGGGCUAGGAUUUGUGUUAGGGUUAGGGCUAGGAUUAAGGCUAGGGUUAAUAUCAGGUCUAGGGUUAAGGUUAGGAAUAGUUUUAGGUUAGGUUUAUUACUGGGUCUAGUGUAAGUGUAAGGCAGGGUAAGACUCGGGUUUAUAGCUAAGGGAAUUAUUAGAGUCAUGGUCAGUUUAGAGUUUGGUUUAGGUUUGAGGUUAGGUAGAGCUCGAAUUAGCAUUAGGGUUAGGGUUAGCAUAAUGAUUGGGUUAGGUUUAGGGUUCAGGGUAGGUUUAGGGUAAUUGACAGGUUUGGAGAAAGUGAUAGGUUUAGGGUUAAGCCUAGGGUUAGCAUUAUGGUAAGGGUUAUUUUUAGGGUAAUGGAUACAGGUAGAGUUAAGGUUAUGGCUAGGGUUAUGGUUAGGAUUAGGUCU
Molecule: long non-coding RNA, 1729 nt
Filed under: Marmota monax (woodchuck)
Lineage: Eukaryota; Metazoa; Chordata; Mammalia; Rodentia; Sciuridae
Source: RNAcentral